RNAcentral lists this long non-coding RNA (7752 nucleotides) under Eutrema salsugineum. RNAcentral's name for it is "long non-coding RNA (ESAL_LNC001411)". The record is from RNAcentral. Lineage: Eukaryota; Viridiplantae; Streptophyta; Magnoliopsida; Brassicales; Brassicaceae.
UUCGCUUCUCAUGUCGUUUGCUCCGGCCACCGUGAGGGUUUACGCCACAACCGCAAAGGGAGCAUCAGGCGGCGCCAAAGAGGAGAAGAAUCCCCUCGACUUUGUGCUUGGCUAUUUGACAAAGCAAGAUCAGUUCUACGAGACUGAUCCAAUUCUCAAGAAGGUUGAGGAGAAAGAAGGCUCCAGAAGCGGCGGCACAAAAAGUGGCGGCACUAAAAGCGGCGGCACCAACGGAGGCAGAGGAACUGUUCGCGGUGGCGGUAAAAACUCGACUCCGGUGCCUGUACCGCCGAAGAAGAGCGAUGGUGGAUUCGGCGGCUUAGGUGGCUUCUUCAACAAAAAAUAAAAGAAAAUUUGUAUAGUACAGUAAUUUGCAUUGUUUAUGCCUCCCCGUUUUUAUUCUCUAUAAUUCUUCGGAUUUCAAUUAUAUAUAAACUGCUCUUUCUUCAUUUUAUUUGGCAUUUUAUGAUUAAUCGAAAAGAUCUCACUAUAUCAUAAUUCAUUUUCAAGAUUCACUCAUCACUUGGAGAAAUUUUGAGAAUAAUAUGGAGAAAUGAGGGUAAUGUAUAUACCAAGAACAAGUAGAAUCUGAAGAACAGAGUACAUGAUGAUUCGUAUACAAGAGGAACUUAUGAGAAUUCAAGAGUGAACCACACUGUUCUCAAAGCUCAUAUUGUAAUAUGUAUAUGGCUUUUAUACAUCUAAAACAAUGAUACAAUUUUGCCAAUUUCUCUUAAGAGACUGUAUACAGCAAGAACACCAAAUCUUACAACACACGGCCAGUAAUUCUAUAAGCUAUCACCAGAAUGAUUACUCUCCAAAAUGGUUCUUUACAUUUUGAUUCAAGUGUUACGGGACGGGACCCUGGAACCAUUGAUGCUAUGCAUUAGGCAAUGGUGAUAGUCAGAUCUGACCUGGAGAUACAGGAUCUGUGUUAAAACCUGUCUUUAUGGCUAUAAUUGGUGACAGAACAUUGUAGCUGUUAACUGGAGCUAGCUCGUGCCGGGAGCAACGCCUCUUGCUUUCCUUUGACGAAGAUUGCGAGUUCUUCAGGUGCUACCACCAUACUUAACCACUUCUGCAGAUCUUCACCUUCUACUUUCUCUUUCUCUGCACCAAAUCAUGAUAUUUUCAUCAUCAGAGUCAGCUAGCUAUCACAUCAACCAAACUCAAGCUAAGCCCGUGGAAGCUCAAAGCUUUUAGGGAUGAUAUAUCUUAUAAACUGUCCCACACUUUUUCGAAAACUUGUUCUCGUUUGAUGAAAGUAAAUAAAGUUAUACUAUCUGGUAAUGGAUUACCUUCCAGAUGAGCACCAAGUCCUUCCAAUACAUCUGCAUUAGCGCGUACCACCAACAGUGCAACAUCGAGAGCAGAUUGUAACAGAUUUGUCACUUCUCUUUGAACAAGAUCAACUAGUUUCCCCUGUGUAUAAACAUGGAAGGUUAAGUUUUGCGUUCUUUCAAGGGAGAGGGACAUCACAGAAACCUAGGCAAGUGCAAUGAAGAUUGAUGUUACCUGAUCUCUUCCCCAUGGUGAGCCUCCCGAAUCGUCAAUCCCACCACCAGAAAGUGUAGCCACAGAUACGGGUCCGAUUGUCUGGUUAAGACCAUAUUCAGCUACUGCCUUAUAUGCCAUAUCAGUUGCCCGCCUGAUAUCGUCAAAUGCACCUGUUGAUACACGCCCCGAGUAGACAACUUCUUCAGCUGCACGACCUCCGAGAAGGGUAACCAAACGUCCAAGCAGCUCAUCAAUGAAGAGCAAAUAUCUGUCCUCAUUGGUAGGAGGUAUGUAUGUAAAUCCCAAUGCCCCUCCUGUUCUUGGCAAUAUGCUCAAUUUCUAACAACAAAAAGAGCAAAAACUUGAAUCACUUGCACAGAUAAGCGUAAAGCCUGUCCAAACAGCAGAACCUAUGAGCGUACAUGUCCAAAAUGCUUUUGUAGUUUACCUCAACACGUGGUUGUCCAGUAACAAGUUUUGCAACAGCAGUACCAACUACUGCAUGCCCAGCUUCAUGCCUUGCAACCACUGCCUUCUCAGUGCCUUUUAAUCUUGCACUCUUCUUCUCUAUGCCCUGGAAUAAAAAUGCAUUGUAAAGAAACGUUUGACGAAUUGCUUCAGGUACUAAGUAGACUAGAGAGGAUAGCGCGAUACCGCUAUGGAUCGCUCCACAGCUUGAAUGAAGUCAAUUUUGUCAACGGUUGUCUUGCUCUUUCGUCCAGCAAGCAAGGCAGCCUCAUUUACCAAGUUUGCAAGGUCUGCCCUGCAAAAUACGAAAAAUGGCUUUAUGAGAUAUAUAGCCAAAACCGUACAACUGAAGAAAUUUGAAAUCAAGGAUAAUGUAGAAAAGCGUACCCUGUAAAACCAGUGGUCAUUGAGGCAAUACUACCAAGGCUGACGUCAUCUCCCAAAGGAAGCUCUUUCUUUAAGACGUGUACUCUCAAAAUGGAUUCUCUUCCAAUUUUGUCUGGCGUUUCCACCUGAAAAAAAAUGCAUCAGUACCCUUGAAAGAAUCUUAAUCUGCCUAACCACUAACAAAUCGGCAGACUAAUCCAUUCUACCAACCGUAACAACACGAUCAAAUCUCCCAGGGCGACGCAGGGCCGGAUCUAAGACAUCGGCACGAUUUGUAGCUCCAAGAACGAUAACCGCAGAGCUGCUGUCAAAACCAUCCAUCUCCUGCAAACAAGUUUCCAACAUGUGAAUGGGUCAUGGAAAAAUCAAGAAUGCUACUUAAGCAGAAACAGUACAAGAUUACACACUUACGGUAAGCAGCUGAUUCAGUGUUUGCUCCCUUUCAUCAUUGCUGGCAAUUCUGAAUUUACCAUCACGGCUUUUUGCCACAGCAUCUAUCUGGAACAUGAAGAAAAACAUAAAAUCUUGUUUAAAGAUAUCCAGAGGUAGAAAGUACUGGAGGUAACCCGACAUAGACUACGUAUUCUAACCUCAUCAAUAAAUAUAAUGGACGGUGCUUCUUUCUUGGCCCGAGCAAAGAGAUCCCUUACACGUGAGGCACCCAUACCGACAUACAGCUCUACGAACUCACUUGCAGAGCAACUUAUGAAGGGAACGUCAGCUUCCCCAGCAACAGCCUUUGCAAGAAGCGUUUUCCCUGUUCCAGGAAGACCAACCUACAAAAGAAUGGAAACGAAAGGCAUGAAAUUCUAAAAGAGAGGUCUUGUAACAAAACAUUAGCCAUUAACUAUUCAAAAGAAAUUAUCGAAGUGGAAUCAAAUGAUUUCACUUACCAAUAGGACACCACGAGGAGGACGUGCACCCAGACGGACAUACUUGUCAGGAUUCCUAAGAAAUUCCUGCAAAAAAUUGAUCCAUGAGUAAAACACAAUUACCAUCACAAACGAUCUGACGAUCAAUCAGCAAGUGCAGCAUCUUUAAGGGCUGAGAAACCUACGACGAUUUCUUCUAGCUCUUCCUUUGCUUCAUCAACACCUGCAACAUCUGCAAAUGUAAUUGUUUCACCUCCACCAGAGACUUUUCCCCCAUCAGAACCACCAGACUUUCGGCUCCUAAGCUGGCUGGUUGAACUCUGUGUACACCCGUCGUAUUUUAGGAGAUUGAAAAAUUUAAACAACCACAUUGAAGUAUAAUGGAGAUGCAAACCAUGGAGAAGCUAAGAGGGAAUCGUUGAAUAAGCCCUGCAAGCACCGCUAUGUAGAAAAGUGCUAUCUGCAACAAACAAAAAAAGGAACUUUUCAAAUGAAAUGCUUUCCAAAACUGAAAAUGACGCAGCUUGAAAACUGAAAGCCCAGUCUUUUGUAAAAAGCACCAGUCAUUGCAAAACUAUAAAGCAUCAUCAUCAAAGAGUAGUAUAUUACCAAUCCGGAGUUGAAGAAGCCACCAGAGCGUUUAUCAGGCGAUCCGAAUUCAACAUUAUUCCCAAGCAUCUUCUCAUAUGGUGUUUUGAUGUCGGCAGGCCUUGUGGUAGAAUAUACAACUCUUUUCGUCGGAGCCACAGUUCUUAGCAGCGACUCAGAAGACUCAGAUAUCCUACUAGUUUCACUCUCCUGCCAUUUCCCAUCAUCUUUAAGCUUAAACAAAACCUGAACCCCAUCAACCUCCACUUUCUGCACCUGGUUACUGUUAACUUUACUCAAGAACUCGCUGUAAGGCACGCUCACGAAAGUCGUCUGAAUCCGAGGCUCAGAGCCAGGUAAAGGUACUCCAGGUCGUAGCAAUCUCAUCAGAAACAUAACAACGCCUAAUUGCAACAGUAAAACCCCAAUCCCCUGCGCCUGGAGUAUUGGCUGCCACUGCCAUUUCUUCCCUCUCGACCACAUAACCCCAUCUUUCCUUUCCUUCUCUAUUUUCCGCUUCGACGAUGAGCUCGAGCUCGAGUUCGCCGGAGAAUCUUGGUCUCCUUCUCCGUCACUACUCUCACUCGAACUAGCUUUCUGAUCGUCUUCUUGACAAUUCACAACACCCCGUCUCUUCUUCCUUGAAAACCCAUCCCAGAGAUUAAACCCUUUAUGAUUUCUCAACACUGUAACAGGUUUCCUCUGCAGAGGAAGCGGGAUUGAAUUGGAGACGAAUCGAUUCGGGUUCCGGCGAAAAACCCUACACCGAUCGUAGAAGAAGCUCGAAGUAUGCAAAUACAAUAGACUGUUACUGCAACAGGUUGCGAAUCUGAACCUAUUGUGAACCACUGGUUGUACAAAUUCGAAUUUAGUAGCCAUAUCUCGAAACCCUAGAAAUUGGGGAAAUCAAAGGAAAAACAUAAACAUACCAACACAUUUCAUAUUUCGCUUUUAUAUUUGAUCUGUCUAUAUCUCUUUUAGGACAAACGGAGGCUUGCUGGGAAUUACGACUUCGAACUUUGACCGUUGGAUCGAAGACAAGGAGCAAAAUUCAGCCGUACGAUCUCACGGAGGACGCUGAAUUGUAAUCGCACGAGGAAUAUCGGUAGCUAAGUAAUCGAGUGUGACACGGCGUAUGGAAACGCACGGUGCCAGAGAGAACACGUGGAUAUAUUUAGAGAAGAUAAUGUGGGCCCAUCUCAAUAUAUAAGGUUUAUCGGACCUGGAAGAGGCCCAAAUAAAGUCUAAGACCAUUAUGGGGUUUUAAACAAAUAAAUAUUAAUAUUAUAAUGUAGUAUAAUUAUUUAAUUAAAUUUUAAUUUUAAAAAUAAAAAUAGACUAAUGAGAAUGUGAUAAGUGUAGAACCUCUAAAAAAUGAGGUUCUCAAAUAAAAGUUUUAAGGAUUGGUUUUUAUUUUUAAUUAAUUUUUGAUUUAUUUUUAAUCUUUUAAAAUCUAAAAACUUUUGCUAGAGCCUACCAUUGGAGGUGCUCUAAAAGACUUAUCUAGUCUUCCUACUUUAUUCAUUUUAUCCAAAAUCGCUCACCCUAAUUUUUUUGAGUGAAUUAGCUCAAUAAACAUAAAUCAAGUCAAAUUUGCAGAAAUGACCAAAACUCAAUGACAGAAUUACGUAGAGCUAUAAAGAGGUUAAUUGAUCCAGGUUAAAUUAUAUAAAUUAGAACUUGAGCUUACUAAUGCAUGUUAUCGUUGGAAAAAUUGGUUGAAAAUUCUUUGAUUGACCCCUUUAAUUUCAUGUUCGAUGCCUUCUAUGAUCCCGGUUAAAAAAAUUUCUGGAUCCGCCACUGCCAAAACCUCACAUAAAACUACUAUUAUGAGGAUGGUCAUCAGCAGAUACCCUUUUACCCCCAAAAGAUUUUGCCACGUUAUUUGUUGAGCUCUGUUGAGCUCUGAUAGGAAAUGUGAUGAUUUAAUAGGGUGGCUGAGAGGAUUUUGUAGAGUAGGAGAAAAUCUUCCAAAUCUUCCUUCAAUAAAUCUCAAUCACACAACAUAUUCCAAAUCUAAUAUAUAUACAUAUAUAUAUAUAUAUAUUAUAAUAACGGUUUACAUAUUUUGUUAUAAAUUAACAAUUAUUAUAUUAUAUAUAAACAUAUAAAUUUACAUAUAACAUUAUGUUUUACACAGUAAAGAUAAUGUUAGAUUGAUAACAAUAAUGAGCUAUAUAGAUGAUUAAAGAUGUUAUUAAUAUAUGUAGCACAAUACAUAUAAAUUUAACGUCUAAUAUUAUAAUUUACUAGGUAUAAAAAUUAUUAGUUUGAUAACAAUAUGAAUUAUAUAAAUUGUUAAAGGUGUUAUUUUUGUGGUUAGUGCGCUACAAAUAGAUAUAACACUCUCACUACAAGAAAAACAUCAUUUUACGACGGUCGAAAUGGUCGUUAAUUCGUCGUAAUAGGGCCAUUACGACGGAUUACCGACGAUUUCAAAAUCGUCGUAAACUCAUCGUCGUAAUAGACAAAUCGUCGUAAAAUCGUCGUAUAAUAUACGACGAUUUUGUUUCGUCGUAACGUCGAGGCAAACAAAAUCGUCGUAAAUGCGUCGUACAAUUUACGACGAGUUUACAUCGAAUUGCGUCCACUUGGUCUUCGCCUAGACCGUCGUUAAGUGGUCGUUAAUGGUUGACGUAAGAUCGUCGUAAAAUGUACGAUGUAAAAAUUGUCGUAAAUCAAUCGUAAAGUAUUUCUUCAUUCUGUCGUAAAAUCGUCGUACAUUUCGGACGUAUAAUCGUCGUAUUUAUCGUCGUAUAUUAUAGUCGUAAAGUCGUCGUAAUAUGUACGACGAUAUUACGACGGUUUGAAUAAAUCGAUUACGACGAUUAUACAACGACUUAUAUAAUUGGAAAUUAAAAAAAAAUUAAUUGAAAAUUAAAAAAAAAAAUAAUUCGAAUUAAAAUUUAAAUAAAAAAAAAUAAUUUACAAUUUGAAAUUAAAAUUAAUUGUAAUUUACAAAAAAACCCUACAGCUCAUCUAAAUCUAUUUGUAGAUCGUCGAUCCCGUCACCGGCCUCCUCCCCAUCGUCUUGGACGUGCUCCUUGCCGGGUCUUCGGUUUGAUGGUCCCGCCGGCACCUGAUCUCCGGCUCCGGCUGUAGGAGGGUCGACCCCGAGAGAUCGGAACAUCUCUGCGUCCGUCUGCACCGGCGGCGGUCGAGUCCUAGUAGAUGACCCGACGGCAGACGAUCCUCCGAGAACCCCAUCAGCCUUCAGCUUGUCCAGCUGCACCAUGAGUACCGGGUUGUUGGCUCCCAUGAUCUCGAAAAGACUGUAGAGCAGGUCGAUCUUCGUCUCGUACCGGUCGAUCCUCGUCUCGUACUGGUUCCGCAUCUGAUCGAUCUCUUGGCGGAUAACCGGAUCCGCCGCAGCCCGGACGUGACCAGUCGCCGUAGCUCUCGGGGUAUCACGGAUGGACCCCAUCCCUAAUACCCGCCCCUUUUUCUUUGGGGCAACCUACAAACAUAUAAAAACAUUAUGGUUAGAAAUAUAAUUUAAAAGUAAAGUUACAUUAAUUAAAAAAAGUAAUUAUAAUUAAUUACGUACCUCUUCGAAGAUCUGGUCCAUCUCCGCCACCGUCAGCGCCGGGGUCGAUUGGACCGAGCUACCUCCGGGAGACGUUUGACGCGCCUGCUGAGUCAGCUGCGUCUGUCGCUCCUCGAUCGCCGCACAGGCGGCGUUGUAGAUCUCCUCCGCCCGAGGAUCCGUGAAUUCGCCGUUACGCUUUUUAUGCGUCUCGGCGAAAACCUUCGUCAUCGGAGGAAGUUCUCCUCUGUUAUCUUCGACCUACAAAAUAAAAAAGAAAAAAUUAAUUAUUAUCAAGAAAUAAGAGUUUAUUAGUUGAAAAAAAAAAUUAAUGAUUUUAAUUUAGUAACCAUCAUAAGCCGUCUUCCGGCAAAAGGAAUCUGGCCGGAAGUGUGCGGGACGUUCUUCUUAUUU